CUUUUGCUGGAGCGGAUAGAAGUAAGCAUGCAGGCAUGAGUAGCGAUAAUUAAGGUGAGAAUCCUUAACCCCGAAAACCCAAGGUUUCCUACGCGAUGCUCGUCAUCGUAGGGUUAGUCGGGUCCUAAGUCGAGACUGAAAAGCGUAGUCGAUGGCAAAUUGGUUAAUAUUCCAAUACCAACAUAUAAGCGGCGAUGUGGGGACGCAUAUUAUUAAGCUUUGAUGGUUGCGUACUCCGG
RNAcentral lists this ribosomal RNA (239 nucleotides) under uncultured Arcobacter sp. RNAcentral's name for it is "partial 16S ribosomal RNA". It matches the Rfam family "Bacterial large subunit ribosomal RNA", at positions 1267 to 1509 of the family's 2925-position model. Lineage: Bacteria; Pseudomonadati; Campylobacterota; Epsilonproteobacteria; Campylobacterales; Arcobacteraceae. The record is from RNAcentral.